AAGUCGUAACAAGGUCUCCGUUGGUGAACCAGCGGAGGGAUCAUUACUGAGUGUUACAACUCCCAAACCCUAUGUGAACACUACCAUUCGUUGCUUCGGCGGGACCGCCCCGGCGCCUCUGCGCGCCGGAACCAGGCGCCCGCCGGGGGCCCGAAACUCUUGUUUUGUCAGUGGAAUUUUCUCUGAGUGGCAUAAGCAAAUAAAUUAAAACUUUCAACAACGGAUCUCUUGGUUCUG
RNAcentral lists this unclassified non-coding RNA (237 nucleotides) under Niesslia aurantiaca. Its description in RNAcentral is "Collarina aurantiaca partial internal transcribed spacer region". The stretch from base 1 to 46 matches the Rfam family "Eukaryotic small subunit ribosomal RNA", at positions 1786 to 1831 of the family's 1831-position model. RNAcentral also lists the same sequence under 3 other names. The record is from RNAcentral. Lineage: Eukaryota; Fungi; Ascomycota; Sordariomycetes; Hypocreales; Niessliaceae.